Molecule: long non-coding RNA, 1440 nt
Filed under: Triticum aestivum (bread wheat)
Lineage: Eukaryota; Viridiplantae; Streptophyta; Magnoliopsida; Poales; Poaceae
Description: long non-coding RNA (TAES_LNC013027)
Source: RNAcentral
UCAGAAUUAGCAUCCUUUGUAACAAGUAUAGGAACAAAUACAUCCACUAAAAGUGUAUGGAGACAUGGAGUUCACAACUGCAUCAGAUCCAACAUUCAUAUGAAAUAUGUAAAUAAUUAAAAGAUACUACAAACUAGAACUAAGCUUUCCAUACAUUAUACAUAAUAUGUGUUCAUUUAAAGACUAAUUCUUGUGUGGUUGCUCCUUGCUCCUGCAAUGCGUUCCAAUUCUAAAUUCUCAGCUACCCUGGAAGAAAAAAUUAACAAAGAGAAGUUUAGAACAUAAGCUUUUGGAUUAGUGCAAGAUGAAAUGUUCUAUGAUGAAACUGUGAGAGAUGUUCCUUACAAAUGUCUUGACGUUGUCUUGGAGCACAAAUGUCUUAGGUUGUGUUGGAGUGGUCAGCUUUGGCUUUUUGACCUAAAAUGUUUCGAAAUAGUAUCAGAUUGGCAGGCAAACAACAAUUGGCAUAACCAUGCAAGCGUAUGUGAUUCAACUGACUGAAACUAUAUCUAGUUUGGAUAUAUUUCAAAAUGUACAUAACUUGACUUGUUCUAAUCUUACUCAUGCCUAAUUAAGAUGCAUAAACACUUCCCCAAAUGGUACAUUUAUGAAACAUACUGAGCAUCUAUGUAGCUAAAGUAAAAAAAAUCAAGAAAACAAUAUGUACAGUUCAUUAGUGGUGAAACAAGUACGCCUUGUCUGCCGCACAAAGUCAUGUGAAGCCAUGUAUAACUAAUAAAGUGCAGACCACAUAGACAUGUCAUUUUGCUUCGUAAGUAGUAGGGCAAGCCAAGAGACGCUGGUUUGCGAAAGCUAAAACUAUACAUAGUUAAUCAAAGAUGAGCAACUUGAUAAAAUGACAACACUUUUCCUCGUACAUUUAUCGUAUGACCCACCUUUCAUUUUUUUGAUAAAACGGCACACGUUUCAUUGAUAGCUAGACAAAAUGGCACAAGCUAAACGUUUUCCUCUAUUUCUACAUAUGGGCCCGCACAUCAGAUUAUUUGGGACAGUUUUUCCCUUUAGGCCCUGUUCGGGACAUGGGUUGACAAAACAGAGGAGAAGGAAAAAGCAUAGGUAUGGGAUGGAGUGCAAAGUGAAACCUACAGGCUUCCACUAAGAGGAAUGGGAACUUAUGGGGGUGUUCUGAACAAAGGGAAAAAGUUUUGGAAUCUGCACACUUCUCUAGGAAACAGAACUAGCCGUUAUGUGCUUGGGCAUUGUAUUCUUGCUGUUGUUUCUCUAGCCAUUGCUUCUUCUUUCUCUUGCUAUUUAAGCACAAACAAUGCACUGCCAGCAACUUGCUUGUCAUUUCUUCUCCUCCCCUGUAAGAACUUCUCUAGGAAAGCAUAGUUCAUUCUUGUAGCAGGAAUCCAUUCAUUCUUCUAACCUCAAAAUCCAUUCAUUCCUGAAGCUGAAUGUAUCCAAACUAUAGCCGGC